CCAGGCUUGAGGUUGAAUCAGAGCUGUAGCUGCUGGCAUUCACCACAGCUCACAGCAACGCUGGAUCCUUAAUCCAUUGAGCAAGGCCAGUGAUUUAACCAAAAUCCUCAUGGAUACUAGUUGGGCUUGUUCCCACUGAGCCACAGUGGGAAUUCCUGCUCUUUCCUUUUUUAAAAUCCAUAGCUUCUUGCCAUCACGGGCUCAGUCAUUCUCUGCCUGGCAGGCUGAAACCUUCCCCUGCUCACACUUCUGCGCUUUAUGUGCUGAUAACAUGGUUCUAAUUCAUUUAUAAACAUUGGGGUAUCUUCUGCAGUCAUCAUCUUUUAGAGGAAUAUGAAUUGUCCUUACCAUCUGACAAACUUGCGAUGGUUCUAAGGCUCAGAUGUGGUGCUGUAGGCGGAAGAUAAGGGGAGUCUGAAGAGUCUUGGAUUCAUUUCCUUAGGCUAGGUAAGAAAUUAACAAAAACCAUGGGACUUAAAGCAACAUACACUUAAUCUGCCACCUUUCUGGAGGCUUAAAGUCUGCUUCAUGCUCCUUCCCCGGCUUCUGAGGCUGCCAGCAGCCCUGGCCUUUCUUUGGUUUGUGGAUGCAUCACUCUGAUUUCUGCCUCUGUCUUCACAUGAUCUUCUCUGCCUGUUUCCUCUUCUGUCUCUUAAGGAUACCUGUCACUGGCUUUCAGGCCCACCGUAAUCCAGACUGAUCUCAUCUUGAAAUCCUUGCCUUAAUUACAUCUGCGGAGACUCUUACUCUGAGGCUCCGAGGAGACGUGUCCUUUGGGAGUCACUCUCCAGUCCAGUACCAGUCUUCUCACUGAGCAUCCCUUCUGCCUGGCCUGAUGCAAGUCACUCUCCCUCCCUGGGUCUCCAUUUCUCUUGGGCCAUCUCUAAAUCAUUCCUAUUUAGAAUAUUCCACCCGGGUGAAAAUCCUAGGGAGGGGUCAGACCCAACUUUCCUCAUUCAACACUCACGAUCCUGCCUGGGUGGGGCGCAGGGCUGUACCCCAGGGAGACAGGUGACCUUCAGCCUCGUUCCCCCCCCACCUCUGAGAACAAAGGCUAGAGAGAAAGUGGACUUUAGGGGAAGUGAUUACAGUGACCAGAGUGAGAAGUUCCCUGAGGUUCAGUCCUGCUUCACCACACCAUCAGAGAGCCUAGCCCCGAGCAGGAAGUCUUUAUUGAUGCAUUUUUCAGCUGGUAAGAGCUAUGAGAGGAUGCCCCAAACGACUGUUUUCAGAACACAGAGAGCCAACUGGCUGUGCCUUGGAGGGUCCAGAUGGCUUCUCAGUGGAGGUGGUGCUCAAGCUGAGGCCUGGAGAAUGAGUGAUAGUGAACUGAGGUGGGGCUGGAGGGGGCUCUGAUGCUGCCCCAGGUGCACAGGGCAGAGGCGAGAGACAGCUCAGCCUUCUCUAGGGCAGAGAAGGGGCUCAUAAUGGCAGUAUAGGAGGUCACACAACUUGCCUCAGUCUAGUCCCUCCUAGAAGGUAGGGCUCAGACAACUGCUAGGAGCCAUACCCCAGAGCUGUUCUGGUGACAGCACUCCACUCUGCCAUCUUGACACCAUCGUGUGCUGUUAGAUCACAGUUACAGGAAUGUGUGUUAUCAUCCCCAUUUUAUAGAUGAAAAUGAGAUAUAUCAGUUCCUACUGCUGCUGUAACAAAUGGUCACACACCUGGUGGUUUAUUUUUUAUUUUUUUAUUUUGGCCUUUUUGCCUUUUUGAGGGCUGCUUCCCAUGGCAUAUGGAGGUUCCCAGGCCAGAGGUCGAACCGGAGCUGUAGUCACUGGCCUACGCCAGAGCCACAGCAAUGCGAGAUCCGAGCAGCGUCUGCAAACUGCACCACAGCUCACGGCAACGCCAGAUCCUUAACCCACUGAGCAAGGCCAGGGAUCGAACCCACAACCUCAUGGUUCCUAGUCGGAUUCGUUAACCACUGUGCCACGACGGGAACUCCCACUUGGUGGUUUAAAACAGUGCAGAUAUAUUCUCUGGCCAUUCUGGAAGAAGGAACUCCAGAGUCAGUCUCACAGAGCUAGAGUCAAGGAGUCAGCAGAGCUGGUUCUUUCUGGAGGCUCCAGAGGAGAAUCCAUUCUUUGCUUUUUCCAUUUAUAGAGGCUGCCCACAUUCCUCAGCUCACCGCCCCUUCCUUGAUCUUCAAAGCCAGUCUCAUAGUCUCUUCAAAUCUCCUCUGACCUUGUCCUCUGCUUAUGCCAUUGUAUAUCCUUCCCUUUCCCGCUUCUCUCAUGUUCCCUGACUCUGACCCUCUUGCUUCCCUAUUAUGAGGCCCACUGUGCUGACAUUGAACCUACCUGGAAAGUCCAGGAUACCCUUCCCAUCUCAAGACCCUUAAUUUUCCCUUGUGAGAUCACAUAGUCACAGUUUCUGGAGAUUAGGACAUAGACAUCUUUGGGGGGGGUGAUCAUUAUUGAAUUUACCACAGGAGGCUUCGAGGUGGUUAGAUAUAUGUCCCAAGAUUAGUAUACAGACCACUCAGCACUGUCCAUUGCACCACAGCUCCUCUCUCCCCUUCUGCCAGGAAAUCCUGAGCUGCCCAGUGAACCACAGCCCAAUUUCAGACUCGGAGGGCAGAUCUGAGUUAAGUUCUCCCAAGGCAAUUGGCCUAUGGGACAGAUAUCGCAACAAGUAUUAUAUUUGAAGCAAAUGAUCCUGCAAAACCAGCAGGUCCUGGCUCAGAGAACUGGAGGAUGAGGUGCCGCAUCCUGAUGGGUGGAUGGAUUGUGGGAGGCCAAAGGGAGGGUAGGGCUGGCAGGUGCCCAGAUAGGUGGGAAGAUGAGAUGGAGGAGCCAUGGAAAGAUAGCACAGUCAGGUGGAUUGGGGGCAGGGAAGAGAGACAAAAGGAGGAGGAGCUGACUGGGGAAGGAUGGACUCAGACACCUGGGGACUAUGGUAUCAGGCAGACCUUGGGCUUGAAACUCAGCUCUGCCACUUCUCACGGAUGCUGCAUCUGCCUAACCUCUUUGAGCUGCAGUCUCUUCUCUGUGAAGUGAAAAAUCACACCUCUUAAGGCUGUUAUAUACCACUAUUAUGUGUAUGCUACCUUUUUAUACACAUUUUUGUACUUUUACCAUAAAUACUAUGCAGUGUUUUUUCAGUGUUUUCAUUGAUAUGAUAACAUAUGGUAAGUGUAAUUUUACAUCCAUUUUAACCCAAAAUUAAUUGUUAAAGAUAUACCCAUAAUGAAUGAAUGAAUGAAUGAGAGCAAUUACAGAACAAGCCCUAAGGUGGGAAAACUUUCUUCAAUUGGUGAGCACCUCAUUGACUGGGGAGGAUUUCAAGCACAGGCCAAGUCAUCUUCUUGUGGCUCCUCCAUCUCCUGGGGACCUUCACACCUCUGCCUGGAGUAUUUGCUGGCCCCCUCCCCACUCUGGCUUUUUGGAGUCUGUCCAUCCUUCAGCCAGGACACUUCCUGAAACCAUCUCCAGUUCUUAGGCUCACAGAUGCUGGUGGGGGGGAGUGAAUGCUUCACAAAGAGUAACUAAAAACAGCAACAACAGUGCAGCUUGGCAAUUACACUACAAGUUAAGGAUGGAUGGACAUCCUGUCCAACACACAUAGUCACAACACCCUGACUACUCCCUCCAAGUCUGCCCCAAAUUAAUCUUGCCUAUAAAGAGCUCCAUUUCUCCAGAGGAAGAGCCGCUUUAUUAGAGAAGCCCCUUCUCCAUAAAGAUAGAACAAGCAGACCAAUAAACCUUCCCUGGUUUCGGCAUCACUUUGGAAAUCGAUGUGCUAUGAUUGCGAAUCCAGCCUCUGUCAGCAGCCGCCUAAUUUUAGCUGGAUCUUUGCGGGCUUCUCACCGGGCUCAUCCGCCCCCAUGGACUGGCAGAGCGGUUCCCAGAGCAUCAUUGAUCUUUUGACUAAAGUGUCCUAAUGAAAUACAAAUCUGUUGUCACUUAGAGAGCCAUCUGUCAUGGCAGCACAGAAGAAAUGCUACCAGGAGAACAAUAACCAUAAUUUCAUUUUAAGACCCAGCCUUCUUCUCCCCUUUCCUGCCCCCAAAAAAAGUCAAUAUCUUUCACUGUUUCAUUUUGUCACAGAGCAAUAAGAGGAAAGCCAUCCAUAGGGCGUUAAAGAUGUUUCCAAUUAUGUGCAAAUCCUCUGUUAUAAGGGCCCUUGGCCUCUUGGAGUAGUUAGCACCUAUUUGCAUAAAGGGAGUUAGCCAAAGCUUAUUCUGUGUUCCUGUCUUGGGGCAUCCUGCCCAGGUAAGUGACAGGUGUGCAGUGUUCUUGGAGUCCUGGGGUCACAAGUACCAGCCUUACAGAGCAUCAGGCCUUUCCCGGGGGGAAUGGUCAAAAUAAGCAAAGUUUUUUUUUGUUUGUUUUUGUUUUUUUUUUUAAAUGCAGAAUAAAAUUUUAUUUUAUUUUAUUUUAUUUUUAUUUUUUUAUUUUCCCACUGUACAGCAAGGGGGUCAGGUUAUCCUUACAUGUAUACAUUACAAUUCCUUUUUUCCCCCACCUUUUCUUCUGUUGCAACAUAAGUAUCUAGACAUAGUUCUCAAUGCUAUUCAGCAGGAUCUCCUUGUACAUCUAUUCUAAGUUGUGUCUGAUAGGCCCAAGCUCCCGAUCCCUCCCACUCCCUCCCCCUCCCAUCAGGCAGCCACAAGUCUCUUCUCCAAGUCCAUGAUUUUCUUUUCUGAGGAGAUGUUCAUUUGUGCUGGAUAUUAGAUUCCAGUUAUAAGUGAUAUCAUAUGGUAUUUGUCUUUGUCUUUCUGGCUCAUUUCACUCAGGAUGAGAUUCUCUAGUUCCAUCCAUGUUGCUGCAAAUGGCAUUAUGUCAUUCUUUUUUAUGGCUGAGUAGUAUUCCAUCGUGUAUAUAUACCACAUCUUCCGAAUCCAAUCGUCUGUCAAUGGACAUUUGGGUUGUUUCCAUGUCCUGGCUAUUGUGAAUAGUGCUGCAAUGAACAUGCGGGUGCACGUGUCUCUUUUAAGUAGAGUUUUGUCCGGAUAGAUGCCCAAGAGUGGGAUUGCGGGGUCAUAUGGAAGUUCUAUGUAUAGAUUUCUAAGGUAUCUCCAAACUGUUCUCCAUAGUGGCUGUACCAGUUUACAUUCCCACCAACAGUGCAGGAGGGUUCCCUUUUCUCCACAGCCCCUCCAGCACUUGUUAUUUGUGGAUUUAUUAAUGAUGGCCAUUCUGACUGGUGUGAGGUGGUAUCUCAUGCAACUGACAAGGGCUUAAUCUCUAGAAUAUAUAAACAACUUAUACAACCCAACAGCAAAAAAACCAAUCAAUCAAUGGAAAAAUGGGCAAAAGACCUGAAUAGACAUUUCUCCAAAGAAGAUAUACAGAUGGCCAACAAACACAUGAAAAAA
This 5323-nucleotide long non-coding RNA is filed under the name Sus scrofa (pig). RNAcentral's name for it is "lncRNA (ENSSSCG00060040935.1)". The record is from RNAcentral. Lineage: Eukaryota; Metazoa; Chordata; Mammalia; Artiodactyla; Suidae.